Molecule: ribosomal RNA, 253 nt
Filed under: uncultured bacterium
Lineage: Bacteria
Description: partial 16S ribosomal RNA
Rfam family: Bacterial small subunit ribosomal RNA
Source: RNAcentral
UACGUAGGUGGCAAGCGUUGUCCGGAUUUAUUGGGUUUAAAGGGUGCGUAGGCGGUUUUGUAAGUCAGUGGUGAAAUAUGGCAGCUUAACUGUCAGGGUGCCAUUGAUACUGCGGAGCUUGAGUACAGAUGAGGUAGGCGGAAUUGACGGUGUAGCGGUGAAAUGCUUAGAUAUCGUCAAGAACACCUAUAGCGAAGGCAGCUUACUAGGCUGUAACUGACGCUGAGGCACGAAAGUGUGGGGAUCAAACAGG